Molecule: long non-coding RNA, 2705 nt
Organism: Oreochromis niloticus (Nile tilapia)
Lineage: Eukaryota; Metazoa; Chordata; Actinopteri; Cichliformes; Cichlidae
Source: Ensembl
AUAUAGCUCUAUUUUGCUUUUGCCUGGGUGGCAGCUCCACGUUUCCAUAAUUUGGUAAUCAAAAUAUGUAACUUAAUUAAUUAUGUUGUGACGUACUUUUGCCUUUUCUUAUUAUUCUGCCUUCUCAGAAAGGGAAAAAAAUACAAAUAAUAUUGUUUACACUUGUUAUAUACAAUAACUAUCAAAACCUAUUCACAUUUAAUUUGGCUUUCACAGAAAUCCCACCUCUCCUUCUGGCUACAGAGCACUUACUUACCAAGCCCAUGAAAUCGAAUGCAGAUCUUCCUGAUGUGAGAUUUACAUAAAUGUAAGUAAUUUUGUUUGUCAUUGUCAUUAAUGUUGUUGCUGUUGUUGUUUUUGUGAAGUUUGCAAUAUAAACCUAGCAAGCAUCAGUCAGCACAGUGACUAACCUAAACAGAUUCUUGCUUUAUUCACAUAUAUUAUAUGUAAUUAUAUAUACCUGCACAUUGUACCUAGGGUUCCAGCCACUUGGCCCCACCCCAUUGUUGUGACAGCCCUGACUGUACACUGCAUCUGAACAGGGAACAGUCUGCCACAUUAAUGUAUUUUUAAGUGACUUGUUUGUAAUACAUGAAUUUGCUUCUUACAGAUGUCAAAGUCUCAACCUCAUGCUGCCCUCCCCCAUCCUCCUAAAGUAAGUAUUUGUUGUUGUAGUUUUUUAUGCAGUGUCUGUGUCACAUGCUAAUCAUAAUUAUUGAAAUAACUGUUUUCUAACAGAUUUUCCAAAACACUAGUUAUGUUUGUUGUCAUUCAGACCAAUACUACUGCUUAGACAUUGCUUAGUGGUCAUGCAUGUUUGACAAGCUUGUUAUGAUACCAAAACAGUAGGCCUAUCACAAUAAUCGAUAUAUUGACUUAACACACAAUACAUGUACAUGACCUCAAUAAUUGUUGAUGAUGCAAUUUAUCUGCCAUUAUAUUAAAAAAAAUAUAAUAAUAACAACACAAUAACAUUAAAUAACAUUGUUUUCUAUUUGUUAGAAAAUUUACUAUUUAUUCAAUUUUUUAUGGUAUCUAAUAUUUUGAUACCUAAUUUCCAUGAUCUAAAUAUUUUCAGAAUUAGAUGUUGGUUUGUCAAUUGAAAGUGUGUAGAUCUUGCAUUAUUAUGGUGUUAUAUUAUGAUUAUACAUUCAAAGACAUAAAAUGGUCUUAAAAUCACAAUGACAUAACUUGUCGCAAUUGUUUAUGGGGCAAUAUACCGACCAACAAAAAGUUGUUAUCGUAACAGGCCUUCAAAACAGACGGUUUUAUGAUUGAUAAAUUCAAAAAAUAAAUACAUUUAAUUUCUCUGAGAUUCUCUAAUAUUCAGUUACAGUUCACAACACAGCUACCUGUACAUGCAGUAUUAUACUGUAAAUAUAAAUCUCUGCAUUUAGCAUCCCACUAGAAGAGUCACAGUUACUGCCUCUUUUUUUUUUUUUUUUUUUUUUUUUUUACAAAUACCUGUACUAUUACUAACACAUUUACUGUUUUACUUUUAGCCUGUGGAUACAAAUGCAGAUUUCCUUAAUGUAAGUUGUGCAUUUUAAUUACAUCAUGUUAUUUUUAUUAUUAUUUAUUUAUUUUAUUUUACAUUCAAAUAUUUCAAGCUUCUUGGUUAAAGAAGCUUGAUUGCUAGUAGGUAAAGAAUAGUUCACCUAUAAUUGAUAUUCCCAAUUAAUUUCUCACCUCUGAUUGAAUGCCUUUGUUUGUUUGCCUUUUUUGACUAUAACAAAACAUUUUUGCAGGAUAUAUAUGGUGAAUUUAUAUGCAUAGAUACAGUCGUAGUGCUUGACACAUGCACACAGCAGUAGAUGUACUAAAAAGGAAAUAGUUACAAUCAUGAUGUUGAUUGCUGAUGUCAGUAUAUAUAUUUUAGAGGAAUGUUUUGUUUUUCACCCAAAAUGAACUAUAUUGCUUCAGAAGAGAUUUAUUACCCUACCUGACUCUUAUAUAUUGUUUUUUGUUUGUUUUUGUUAUUUUCAGGUUCAAUGGUGCGUGUUCUUCUAAUGGCCGCCUUCCCACUGGAGGUUUUGAUCCACAGCAAUUUAAAAGGUAAACAGCUUUGAAAGUCAGUUCAAAUGGUUAGCUAAUAGUAUUCUAAAAAGCCUACUUCUCUGUCACCAGUUUCUUUACCAAAAAGUACCCAUAAAAGUAUCUCUCAAUAGCAUAUCAUUGUAGUUCAAAUGUUUAGUUGUACAAAUAUCAGAUUUUUGGAAAUCUAAAACUAGUCAAACACUCAAAUGUUUAUGCCUUUUAUAGGAGGACAGAGCAAAACGGACAUCGGCACAGAGUGAAGAACUGCCCUUCACAAGGACACUAUGACAGCCAUAUAUAGUAAGUGAAGACUUUCUGUGUAUCUAAAAUUGCAUACAGCACAAGUAACUUACUGUUAGCGCCAUUUAUAGUUAUUACAUGUUUUAUUUUGAAAAGCCUGAAAAAGAUGUGGUGCUUUUGUUGUGAAAGGUUUUGUGAGAAAUAAAACAAGCGAAUGGCGGAGCGACACGAUGGUUUUACUUAAUGUAAUGGCUAUGUUGUUUCUUCUUGGAGUUCUCUAUUUUUCUUAUAUCUAAAAUAAGAGUCUGGAUGGACAAGAGGCUGUUUUACGCGUCGUUGUUGUACAAACCGACGCGUAAAACAGCCUCUUGUCCAUCCAGACUCUUAUUUUAGAUAUAAGAAAAAUAGAGAACUCCAAGAAGAAACAA